RNAcentral lists this unclassified non-coding RNA (875 nucleotides) under uncultured Synechococcus sp. Its description in RNAcentral is "partial may contain 16S ribosomal RNA, 16S-23S ribosomal RNA intergenic spacer, and 23S ribosomal RNA". The stretch from base 347 to 419 matches the Rfam family "tRNA". The record is from RNAcentral. Lineage: Bacteria; Bacillati; Cyanobacteriota; Cyanophyceae; Synechococcales; Synechococcaceae.
GUCGAAGGUGGGGCUGAUGACUGGGGUGAAGUCGUAACAAGGUAUCCGUACCGGAAGGUGCGGAUGGAUCACCUCCUAACAGGGAGACAACACAAUGAUUUUGAUGCCUGAGUGCUUUUAUUCUUAGGCCGAAAUCCUGUCACCUUAGGUCGAUCGGUACCUCAGCUUUGAAAUCAAGGAUCGGCAGCAAUGUUGAUUGCUUGAUGGAGAUUUUUAGUUCCUAAACUUUGUCUAGGUCACACCCCAAAAGGGAUGAGACUCCUGGGCCAUUAGCUCAGGUGGUUAGAGCGCACCCCUGAUAAGGGUGAGGUCCCUGGUUCAAGUCCAGGAUGGCCCAUUCGGUGUUGGGGGUUUAGCUCAGUUGGUAGAGCGCCUGCUUUGCAAGCAGGAUGUCAGGAGUUCGAGUCUCCUAACCUCCACUGACCGAACUUAAUUCCCAUCUCCAAUUCUUUUGGAGUUGAGCUCGAUUGGAGUGUGAUUUAGAUGUGUCCGCUGGAUGACCCCAGCUUCCUGUCAUUCCAAGUUUUAGGUUGAAGCCUUGAAUUUGGUUGAUAAGAUGCUGGGCUCGGAUCAAAUUAUCAAGCAAUUGAUGAUUUGAUUUGAAGUUCUAGCAGAACCUUGACAACUGCAUAGGUGAGUCUGGAAAAAACAAAGCAUCUUACAGAUGCAUUGUUUUGAAUCUGAUCUUCUGAAAGGGAGAUUGGAUCUAGAACAAUGAAAAUUCUUUUGAGCAAGAGCCGAGACUCUUGAAUGUUCUUUGAUUCGUGUCGAGCGAAUCAGAGUUUGAUCUUGUUUUUAGCAAUAAAAACUUGAGAAUCUGCUUUCAACGGCGGUAAGCGUUCAGGAGGUUAAUUGGUCAAGCUACAAAGGGCUCA